This 403-nucleotide ribosomal RNA is filed under the name uncultured bacterium. Its description in RNAcentral is "partial 16S ribosomal RNA". It matches the Rfam family "Bacterial small subunit ribosomal RNA", at positions 28 to 526 of the family's 1533-position model. The record is from RNAcentral.
GACGAACGCUGGCGGCGUGCCUAAUACAUGCAAGUCGAACGCAGUGGGGACGGGUGAUUAACACGUGGGUAACCUCCCGUCAGAGGGGAUAACACGUGGAAACAGGUGCUAAACCGAUACUGGUUUAUGGACCAGGGGGGCAUUAGCUAGUGGGUGGGGUAAAGGCUCACCAAGUCGACGAUGCAUAGCCGGCCUGAGAGGGUGAUCGGCCACACUGGGACUGAGACACGGCCCAGACUCCUACGGGAGGCAGCAGUAGGGAAUCUUCGGCAAUGGACGAAAGCCUGACCCAGCAAUGCCGCGUGAGUGAAGAAGGUUUUCGGAUCGUAAAACUCUGUUGGUAGAGAAGCGUUAUCUAACCAGAAAGCCACGGCUAACUACGUGCCAGCAGCCGCGGUAAUUC